CCUAGGGUCUCUGCAGUGGGGAAUAUUGGACAAUGGGCGAAAGCCUGAUCCAGCCAUGCCGCGUGUGUGAAGAAGGCCUUCGGGUUGUAAAGCACUUUCAGUGGGGAAGAAAGCCUUGGGGCUAAUACCCUCGAGGAAGGACAUCACCCACAGAAGAAGCACCGGCUAACUCCGUGCCAGCAGCCGCGGUAAUACGGAGGGUGCGAGCGUUAAUCGGAAUUACUGGGCGUAAAGCGCGCGUAGGCGGUCUGAUAAGCCGGUUGUGAAAGCCCCGGGCUCAACCUGGGAACGGCAUCCGGAACUGUCAGGCUAGAGUGCAGGAGAGGAAGGUAGAAUUCCCGGUGUAGCGGUGAAAUGCGUAGAGAUCGGGAGGAAUACCAGUGGCGAAGGCGGCCUUCUGGACUGACACUGACGCUGAGGUGCGAAAGCGUGGGUAGCAAACAGGAUUAGAUACCCUGGUAGUC
RNAcentral lists this ribosomal RNA (464 nucleotides) under Vreelandella stevensii. RNAcentral's name for it is "partial 16S ribosomal RNA". It matches the Rfam family "Bacterial small subunit ribosomal RNA", at positions 338 to 795 of the family's 1533-position model. The record is from RNAcentral. Lineage: Bacteria; Pseudomonadati; Pseudomonadota; Gammaproteobacteria; Oceanospirillales; Halomonadaceae.